RNAcentral lists this ribosomal RNA (559 nucleotides) under Scrobiculinus lepida. RNAcentral's name for it is "partial 16S ribosomal RNA". It matches the Rfam family "Bacterial large subunit ribosomal RNA", at positions 1816 to 2597 of the family's 2925-position model. The record is from RNAcentral. Lineage: Eukaryota; Metazoa; Mollusca; Gastropoda; Trochida; Trochidae.
GUCUCCCUGCAAACUAUAAUAAGUAUAGGGAGUCGGACCUGCCCGGUGACUAAGUGUUAAACGGCCGCGGUACCCUAACCGUGCAAAGGUAGCAUAAUCAUUUGCCUUUUAAUUGGAGGCUGGUAUGAAUGGUUUGACGAGAGCUAAGCUGUCUCUUUUGAAAUUUUUAAAAAUUAACCUUCAGGUGAAGAGGCCUGUCUAUAUUUAAGGGACAAGAAGACCCUUUUGAGCUUUAGGGAUUCUGCUUAUAAAAAUUUUUGUGUAUUAUAUACAACUGUAUUGCGCAGAUGAUUUUUAGUUGGGGCGACUGAGGAACACAAGAAGCUUCCUUUAAACUUUUAAUUUUGAAAAUUUAGCUGUUAAUAAGGCUAUUUUUAUUCUGUCAUGUUAUGUUGAUCCAGUGUGAUCUGAUUAAAGGAAAAAGUUACCAUAGGGAUAACAGCGUAAUCUUUCUGGAGAGAUCUCAUCGAAAGAAGGGUUUGCGACCUCGAUGUUGGACUAAGAUAUCCGAAGGGUGCAGAAGCUCUUGGAGGUUGGUCUGUUCGACCAUUAAAAUCUU